UACGGGGGGGGCAAGCGUUGUUCGGAAUUACUGGGCGUAAAGGGCUCGUAGGCGGCCAACUAAGUCGGACGUGAAGUCCCCAGGCUCAACCUGGGAACUGCGUCCCAUACUGCUUGGCUUGAGUACGGGAGAGGAUGUGGGAAUUCCUGGUGUAGCGGUGAAAUGCGUAGAUAUCAGGAGGAACACCGGUGGCGAAGGCGCACAUCUGGCCCGAUACUGACGCUGAGGCGCGAAAGCUAGGGGAGCAAACGGG
Molecule: ribosomal RNA, 253 nt
Filed under: uncultured bacterium
Lineage: Bacteria
Description: partial 16S ribosomal RNA
Rfam family: Bacterial small subunit ribosomal RNA
Source: RNAcentral